GGCUGAGAUGUGGGUAGUCCGCACGAGCGCACCUUGUCUUAGUUGCAGCAUUCAGUUGGGGCACUCUAAGGAGACUGCCGGUGUUAAACCGGAGGAAGGUGGGGAUGACGUCAAGUCCUCAUGGCCCUUAUGUCCAGGGCUACACACGUGCUACAAUGGCCGGUACAAAGGGUAGCGAGACCGCAAGGUUGAGCGAAUCCCAAAAAGCUGGUCUCAGUUCGGAUUGGAGUCUGCAACUCGACUCCAUGAAGUUGGAAUCGCUAGUAAUCGCGGAUCAGCAUGCCGCGGUGAAUACGUUCCC
Molecule: ribosomal RNA, 301 nt
Filed under: uncultured Pelobacter sp.
Lineage: Bacteria; Pseudomonadati; Thermodesulfobacteriota; Desulfuromonadia; Desulfuromonadales; Desulfuromonadaceae
Description: bacterial SSU rRNA
Rfam family: Bacterial small subunit ribosomal RNA
Source: RNAcentral